RNAcentral lists this transfer RNA (73 nucleotides) under Ursus americanus (American black bear). It matches the Rfam family "tRNA". Rfam says of the family: Transfer RNA (tRNA) molecules are approximately 80 nucleotides in length. Their secondary structure includes four short double-helical elements and three loops (D, anti-codon, and T loops). Lineage: Eukaryota; Metazoa; Chordata; Mammalia; Carnivora; Ursidae. RNAcentral also lists the same sequence under 2 other names. The record is from Rfam by way of RNAcentral.
AUCUGACUGGCUCAGUCGAUGGAGCGUGUGACUCUUGAUCUCAGAGUUGUGGGUUUGAGCCCCACAUUGGGUG